Molecule: long non-coding RNA, 460 nt
Organism: Bos taurus (domestic cattle)
Lineage: Eukaryota; Metazoa; Chordata; Mammalia; Artiodactyla; Bovidae
Source: Ensembl
CCCAUCGGAACCGUGUCCUCCCUUUGUCUUCUGUCCUUCCCCUGAAAGGUGUGGGGGGACCCGUAUCACGCGGAUCGGAGGUGGCGGGGCCGUGGGGGCUGUGGCGCCCCUGAGGCGAAGGCGGAGGCGCCAAGACGCCGCUCCUUGCCUUUCAGGAUGCCAGCGGGGUACAAGCAAGGUCGCGGGCAAGGCCGCACGGCGGCUCGGAGCUCCAAGGUGGGGCACGAAGGAAGCGAAGACUGCCGGCCGGAGGGCCAAGGCGCGGGCGGCGCCAGGCGGGCGGGGCGCGCGGAGCGCUGCUCUCGUGGGAGAAAGGAACCUCUGCAGAGGCGGCUCGGGCCGCCGCCGGAAGGCUGGGGGCCGGGACUCUUUACCCUUGUGGAUUAUUAAAGAAUACUGAGUAGAGCUCCCUGUGCUCUAACAGGAAUGACAAGGACAAAAGCCAGGAAAAAGCGAAGGA